GGCUGGUUCAGUAGUGGGUUAUCAGAACUCAAUAACAAUGUCACUAAAGUUGGUAUACAGCCAACUUUGGUAUACAGCCCCUCAUUGCUAAAUUUGACUGGCUUAAA
This 107-nucleotide small RNA is filed under the name Microcebus murinus (gray mouse lemur). RNAcentral describes it as "Y RNA (ENSMICG00000023298.3)". Lineage: Eukaryota; Metazoa; Chordata; Mammalia; Primates; Cheirogaleidae. The record is from RNAcentral.